GGCAACUUGGCCGAGCGGUCUAAGGCGCCACGUUAAGGUAUUACCUUGAUCCCAACUUGAAAAGUUCCGUGGUCCGAAAGGGCGUGAGUUCGAAUCUCACAGUUGUCA
Molecule: non-coding RNA, 108 nt
Organism: Podospora conica
Lineage: Eukaryota; Fungi; Ascomycota; Sordariomycetes; Sordariales; Podosporaceae
Source: the annotation of a GenBank genome assembly